GUCGAACGAUGAAACUUUAAUGAACCCUUCGGGGAGAAUUAAAGCGGAUUAGUGGCGAACGGGUGAGUAACGCGUGAGUAACCUGCCUCACACAAGGGAAUAGCCUUUGGAAACGAAGAAUAAUACCCUAUAAAACCAUAAAAGCACAUGCAAUUAUGGUCAAAGUAUUAGCGGUGUAAGAUGGACUUGCGUCUGAUUAGCUAGUUGGUGAGAUAAAAGCCCACCAAGGCAACGAUCAGUAGCCGGCUUGAGAGAGUGUACGGCCACAUUGGGACUGAGACACGGCCCAGACUCCUACGGGAGGCAGCAGUGGGGAAUUUUGCACAAUGGGGGAAACCCUGAUGCAGCGACGCCGCGUGAUUUAGAAGGCCUUCGGGUUGUAAAAAUCUUUUGUAUAGGAAGAAAAUGACAGUACUAUACGAAUAAGGUCCGGCUAAUUACGUGCCAGCAGCCGCGGUAAUACGUAAGGACCGAGCGUUGUCCGGAAUCAUUGGGCGUAAAGGGUACGUAGGCGGCUAGAAAAGUUAGAAGUCAAAGGCUAUAGCUCAACUAUAGUAAGCUUCUAAAACUAUUUAGCUUGAGAGAUGGAAGGGAAAGUGGAAUUCCUAGUGUAGCGGUGGAAUGCGCAGAUAUUAGGAGGAUACCGGUGGCGAAGGCGACUUUCUGGCCAUUUUCUGACGCUGAGGUACGAAAG
RNAcentral lists this ribosomal RNA (694 nucleotides) under uncultured Eubacteriales bacterium. RNAcentral describes it as "bacterial SSU rRNA". It matches the Rfam family "Bacterial small subunit ribosomal RNA", at positions 61 to 759 of the family's 1533-position model. Lineage: Bacteria; Bacillati; Bacillota; Clostridia; Eubacteriales. The record is from RNAcentral.